Molecule: ribosomal RNA, 253 nt
Filed under: uncultured bacterium
Lineage: Bacteria
Description: partial 16S ribosomal RNA
Rfam family: Bacterial small subunit ribosomal RNA
Source: RNAcentral
UACGUAGGGGGCAAGCGUUGUCCGGAUUCAUUGGGCGUAAAGAGCGUGUAGGCGGCCAGGUAGGUCGGUUGUGAAAACUGGAGGCUCAACCUUCAGAGGUCGACCGAAACCAUCUGGCUAGAGUCCGGGAGAGGAGAGUGGGAUUCCUGGUGUAGCGGUGAAAUGCGCAGAUAUCAGGAGGAACACCGGUGGCGAAGGCGGGUCUCUGGGCCGAUACUGACGCUGAGGAGCGAAAGCGUGGGGAGCGAACAGG